AAGAGUACGUGAAACCGUUCAGGGGUAAACCUGUGAAACCCAAAAGAUCGAAGGAGGAGAUUCAUCGUCAGUGUAUUCAGUAUUAAUGCAGGCUAUGAUGUGAUGAUAGAAUCCUUGUGGUCACUAAAUUAUACUUGCUUGUAUUAUUUUUGCUGGGUAUGUCGGCGUGCACUUCUCCUCUAGUAGAACGUCGCAACUCGUUGGAUGUUUAUCUAUGGCCUGAAUGGUAGCCUUUGAUAUUUUUAAUAUUGAAGACCUUUGGUGUUCUGAUAAACUGUCUGACGGUACACAUAAGAUAUUGAGCCGCAAUUAUUUGCGUUAGACUUGCCGCAAGUUAGGCUUUAUUCUAGUAGUGCGGAUCUAAUGCCGUCGCUGGUCAAAGUUUACUGUUAGCUGUGUAAUGGCUUUAACUGGCUUAUUUAUCGGUUAGCGAUGCUACUGCUUUGGGUAC
Molecule: ribosomal RNA, 451 nt
Filed under: Parapanteles sp. 1 SY-2020
Lineage: Eukaryota; Metazoa; Arthropoda; Insecta; Hymenoptera; Braconidae
Description: partial large subunit ribosomal RNA
Source: RNAcentral